CACAAUUUCUCCUGUAAGUCGCUUUGGAUAAGAGCAUCUGCUAAAUGACUCUAA
Salmo salar (Atlantic salmon) is the source of this 54-nucleotide non-coding RNA. Lineage: Eukaryota; Metazoa; Chordata; Actinopteri; Salmoniformes; Salmonidae. The record is from Rfam.